UGACCACUCCUACGAUAAAGGUAGGACGUUAAGGCCACACGGACAGCCGGGUCAAAUGCCGA
RNAcentral lists this small RNA (62 nucleotides) under Paenibacillus sp. TCA20. RNAcentral's name for it is "Streptococcus sRNA SpF59 (ldcC RNA)". It matches the Rfam family "Streptococcus sRNA SpF59 (ldcC RNA)". Lineage: Bacteria; Bacillati; Bacillota; Bacilli; Caryophanales; Paenibacillaceae. The record is from Rfam by way of RNAcentral.